Molecule: ribosomal RNA, 410 nt
Filed under: uncultured bacterium
Lineage: Bacteria
Description: bacterial SSU rRNA
Rfam family: Bacterial small subunit ribosomal RNA
Source: RNAcentral
CAAGACUUGAAAUCGAUGGAAUCCUUAAGAAAUUAGGGAGUGCCCUUCGGGGAACCAGAAGACAGGUGGUGCACGGCUGUCGUCAGCUCGUGUCGUGAGAUGUUGGGUUAAGUCCCGCAACGAGCGCAACCCUCGUUAUUAGUUGCAUACGUCGGUAUACUGGCGUAGUGCUCUCUAAUAAGACUGCCGGUGAUAAACCGGAGGAAGGUGGGGACGACGUCAAGUCAUCAUGCCCCUUAUGUCUUGGGCUACACACGUGUUACAAUGGUCGGUACAACGAGCAGCCAACUCGCGAGAGUGAGCAAAUCUCUUAAAACCGAUCUCAGUUCGGAUUGCACUCUGCAACUCGAGUGCAUGAAGUCGGAAUCGCUAGUAAACGCAGAUCAGCACGCUGCGUUGAAUACGUUCCC